This 2900-nucleotide ribosomal RNA is filed under the name Klebsiella pneumoniae. Its description in RNAcentral is "bacterial LSU rRNA". It matches the Rfam family "Bacterial large subunit ribosomal RNA". The record is from RNAcentral. RNAcentral also lists the same sequence under 1 other name. Lineage: Bacteria; Pseudomonadati; Pseudomonadota; Gammaproteobacteria; Enterobacterales; Enterobacteriaceae.
UUAAGCGACUAAGCGUACACGGUGGAUGCCCUGGCAGUCAGAGGCGAUGAAGGACGUGCUAAUCUGCGAAAAGCGUCGGUAAGGUGAUAUGAACCGUUAUAACCGGCGAUGUCCGAAUGGGGAAACCCAGUGUGAUUCGUCACACUAUCGUUAACUGAAUACAUAGGUUAACGAGGCGAACCGGGGGAACUGAAACAUCUAAGUACCCCGAGGAAAAGAAAUCAACCGAGAUUCCCCCAGUAGCGGCGAGCGAACGGGGAGCAGCCCAGAGUCUGAAUCAGCUUGUGUGUUAGUGGAACGGUCUGGAAAGUCCGACGGUACAGGGUGAUAGUCCCGUACACCAAAAUGCACAGGUUGUGAACUCGAAGAGUAGGGCGGGACACGUGGUAUCCUGUCUGAAUAUGGGGGGACCAUCCUCCAAGGCUAAAUACUCCUGACUGACCGAUAGUGAACCAGUACCGUGAGGGAAAGGCGAAAAGAACCCCGGCGAGGGGAGUGAAAAAGAACCUGAAACCGUGUACGUACAAGCAGUGGGAGCACCUUCGGGUGUGACUGCGUACCUUUUGUAUAAUGGGUCAGCGACUUAUAUUCUGUAGCAAGGUUAACCGUAUAGGGGAGCCGCAGGGAAACCGAGUCUUAACUGGGCGUUAAGUUGCAGGGUAUAGACCCGAAACCCGGUGAUCUAGCCAUGGGCAGGUUGAAGGUUGGGUAACACUAACUGGAGGACCGAACCGACUAAUGUUGAAAAAUUAGCGGAUGACUUGUGGCUGGGGGUGAAAGGCCAAUCAAACCGGGAGAUAGCUGGUUCUCCCCGAAAGCUAUUUAGGUAGCGCCUCGUGAACUCAUCUUCGGGGGUAGAGCACUGUUUCGGCUAGGGGGUCAUCCCGACUUACCAACCCGAUGCAAACUACGAAUACCGAAGAAUGUUAUCACGGGAGACACACGGCGGGUGCUAACGUCCGUCGUGAAGAGGGAAACAACCCAGACCGCCAGCUAAGGUCCCAAAGUCAUGGUUAAGUGGGAAACGAUGUGGGAAGGCACAGACAGCCAGGAUGUUGGCUUAGAAGCAGCCAUCAUUUAAAGAAAGCGUAAUAGCUCACUGGUCGAGUCGGCCUGCGCGGAAGAUGUAACGGGGCUAAACCAUGCACCGAAGCUGCGGCAGCGACACUAUGUGUUGUUGGGUAGGGGAGCGUUCUGUAAGCCUGCGAAGGUGUGCUGUGAGGCAUGCUGGAGGUAUCAGAAGUGCGAAUGCUGACAUAAGUAACGAUAAAGCGGGUGAAAAGCCCGCUCGCCGGAAGACCAAGGGUUCCUGUCCAACGUUAAUCGGGGCAGGGUGAGUCGACCCCUAAGGCGAGGCCGAAAGGCGUAGUCGAUGGGAAACAGGUUAAUAUUCCUGUACUUGGUGUUACUGCGAAGGGGGGACGGAGAAGGCUAUGUUAGCCGGGCGACGGUUGUCCCGGUUUAAGCAUGUAGGCUGGUUGUCCAGGCAAAUCCGGAUAAUCAAGGCUGAGGUGUGAUGACGAGGCACUACGGUGCUGAAGUAACAAAUGCCCUGCUUCCAGGAAAAGCCUCUAAGCAUCAGGUAACAUCAAAUCGUACCCCAAACCGACACAGGUGGUCAGGUAGAGAAUACCAAGGCGCUUGAGAGAACUCGGGUGAAGGAACUAGGCAAAAUGGUGCCGUAACUUCGGGAGAAGGCACGCUGGUGUGUAGGUGAAGUCCCUGCGGAUGGAGCUGAGACCAGUCGAAGAUACCAGCUGGCUGCAACUGUUUAUUAAAAACACAGCACUGUGCAAACACGAAAGUGGACGUAUACGGUGUGACGCCUGCCCGGUGCCGGAAGGUUAAUUGAUGGGGUUAUCCGUAAGGAGAAGCUCUUGAUCGAAGCCCCGGUAAACGGCGGCCGUAACUAUAACGGUCCUAAGGUAGCGAAAUUCCUUGUCGGGUAAGUUCCGACCUGCACGAAUGGCGUAAUGAUGGCCAGGCUGUCUCCACCCGAGACUCAGUGAAAUUGAACUCGCUGUGAAGAUGCAGUGUACCCGCGGCAAGACGGAAAGACCCCGUGAACCUUUACUAUAGCUUGACACUGAACAUUGAGCCUUGAUGUGUAGGAUAGGUGGGAGGCUUUGAAGCGUGGACGCCAGUCUGCGUGGAGCCAACCUUGAAAUACCACCCUUUAAUGUUUGAUGUUCUAACGUUGGCCCCUGACCGGGGUUGCGGACAGUGUCUGGUGGGUAGUUUGACUGGGGCGGUCUCCUCCCAAAGCGUAACGGAGGAGCACGAAGGUUAGCUAAUCCUGGUCGGACAUCAGGAGGUUAGUGCAAUGGCAUAAGCUAGCUUGACUGCGAGCGUGACGGCGCGAGCAGGUGCGAAAGCAGGUCAUAGUGAUCCGGUGGUUCUGAAUGGAAGGGCCAUCGCUCAACGGAUAAAAGGUACUCCGGGGAUAACAGGCUGAUACCGCCCAAGAGUUCAUAUCGACGGCGGUGUUUGGCACCUCGAUGUCGGCUCAUCACAUCCUGGGGCUGAAGUAGGUCCCAAGGGUAUGGCUGUUCGCCAUUUAAAGUGGUACGCGAGCUGGGUUUAGAACGUCGUGAGACAGUUCGGUCCCUAUCUGCCGUGGGCGCUGGAGAAUUGAGGGGGGCUGCUCCUAGUACGAGAGGACCGGAGUGGACGCAUCACUGGUGUUCGGGUUGUCAUGCCAAUGGCACUGCCCGGUAGCUAAAUGCGGAAGAGAUAAGUGCUGAAAGCAUCUAAGCACGAAACUUGCCCCGAGAUGAGUUCUCCCUGAGACUUUAAGUCUCCUGAAGGAACGUUAAAGACGAUGACGUUGAUAGGCCGGGUGUGUAAGCGCAGCGAUGCGUUGAGCUAACCGGUACUAAUGAACCGUGAGGCUUAACCUU